CAGUCGCCGCGGUAAUACAGAGGGUGCAAGCGUUAAUCGGAAUUACUGGGCGUAAAGCGCGCGUAGGUUGUUUGUUAAGUUGGAUGUGAAAUCCCCGGGCUCAACCUGGGAACUGCAUCCAAAACUGGCAAGCUAGAGUAUGGUAGAGGGUGGUGGAAUUUCCUGUGUAGCGGUGAAAUGCGUAGAUAUAGGAAGGAACACCAGUGGCGAAGGCGACCACCUGGACUGAUACUGACACUGAGGUGCGAAAGCGUGGGGAGCAAACAGGAUUAGAUACCCGAGUAGUCCCUGUCUCUUAUAC
Molecule: ribosomal RNA, 301 nt
Filed under: uncultured bacterium
Lineage: Bacteria
Description: partial 16S ribosomal RNA
Rfam family: Bacterial small subunit ribosomal RNA
Source: RNAcentral